Molecule: ribosomal RNA, 469 nt
Filed under: uncultured Bacteroidota bacterium
Lineage: Bacteria; Pseudomonadati; Bacteroidota
Description: bacterial SSU rRNA
Rfam family: Bacterial small subunit ribosomal RNA
Source: RNAcentral
UGCCAGCAGCCGCGGUAAUACGGAGGGUGCAAGCGUUGUCCGGAAUCACUGGGUGUAAAGGGUGUGCAGGCGGGGCAACAAGUCGGAUGUGAAACCCCAUGGCUCAACCAUGGAGGUGCAUUCGAAACUGUUGCUCUUGAGUCCCGGAGAGGCUGUCGGAAUUCGUGGUGUAGCGGUGAAAUGCGUAGAUAUCACGAGGAACACCAGAGGCGAAAGCGGGCAGCUGGACGGGUACUGACGCUCAGGCACGAAAGCGUGGGGAGCAAACAGGAUUAGAUACCCUGGUAGUCCACGCCGUAAACGAUGAACGCUCGCCGUUGCCCCGGUUAAGGGGCAGUGGCUAAGCUAACGCGUUAAGCGUUCCACCUGGGGAGUACGAUCGCAAGGUUGAAACUCAAAGGAAUUGACGGGGGCCCGCACAAGCGGUGGAGCAUGUGGCUCAAUUCGAUGCAACGCGCAGAACCUUACC